GCCGCCCCCGCUUCAUGAGCGGCGUUCGCCCGCCUCGCUCUGCCCAGGGGAUCCGCGGCCGUGGCCGGCUGCCGCCGCCGCAGCAGCAGCAUGUGGAGUCCGACCGAGGAGGAGAAAUACGGCGUGGUGAUAUGCAGCUUCCGAGGAGCUGUACCGCAAGGCUUGGUCCUGGAACUAGGUGAAACUGUCCAGAUCCUAGAGAAAUGUGAAGGCUGGUACAGAGGUGUUUCCAUUAAGAAGCCCAAUGUAAAGGGGAUUUUUCCUGCAAACUAUAUUCACUUGAAAAAGGCAAUCGUCAGUAACAGAGGGCAAUAUGAAACAGUUGUUCCACUUGAAGAUUCUGUUGUGACUGAAGUCACAGCCACUCUGCAGGAAUGGGCUGUGCUCUGGAAACAGCUGUAUGUGAAACAUAAGGUAGAUCUUUUCUACAAACUGCGGCAUGUGAUGAAUGAGCUCAUUGACCUACGUAGACAGCUGCUGUCAGGUCACUUGACACAGGAUCAGGUGCGAGAGGUCAAGAGACACCUCACAGUGAGGCUGGACUGGGGCAAUGAACAUUUGGGCCUGGAUUUAGUUCCUCGGAAGGACUUUGAGGUUGUGGAUUCAGAUCAGAUCAGUGUUUCUGAUCUUUAUAAAAUGCAUUUGUCAAGUAGACACAGUGUCCAGCAGAGCACAUCCCAGGUGGACACAAUUCGUCAGCGUCAUGGGGAAGCGUGCCGUAUGCCAGUGCCUCACCACUUCUUCCUCAGUCUGAAGAGCUUCACCUACAAUACCAUUGGAGAAGACACAGAUGUCUUUUUUUCUUUGUAUGAUGUUCGAGAAGGCAAGCAGAUCAGUGAGAGGUUUAUGGUGAGGUUAAACAAGAACGGAGGCCCCAGGAAUCCGGAGAAGAUAGAUCGAAUGUGUGCACUUUUCACAGAUCUCAGCAGCAAGGACAUGAAGAGAGAUUUGUACAUAGUUGCCCAUGUAAUUCGAAUAGGUCGCAUGUUGCUAAAUGAUUCAAAAAAAGGGCCCCCACAUUUACACUACCGGCGGCCCUAUGGCUGUGCAGUGCUGAGCAUCAUGGAUGUGCUCCAGUCCAUCUCGGAAAUCAAAGAAGAGAAGGAUUUUGUUCUCAAAGUUUACACGUGUAACAACGAAAAUGAAUGGUGCCAGAUCCAUGAAAAUAUCAUUCGCAAGUCCAGCACCAAAUACACAGCACCCAGCUCCAACUAUGGACUUAUAAUAUCUCUUCAGCUUCUUCGUGGCGACAUGGAGCAGGUUCGAAGGGAAAACCCUAUGAUCUUUAACAGAGGCGUUUCUGUUACCAGGAAGCUGGGUUUUCCUGAUGUUAUAAUGCCAGGUGACAUACGCAACGACUUAUACCUGACAUUAGAAAAGGGAGACUUUGAAAGAGGUGGGAAAAGUGUGCAGAAGAACAUUGAAGUCACCAUGUAUGUGCUCUAUGCAGAUGGAGAAAUCUUGAAGGACUGCAUCAGCCUGGGCUCAGGAGAGCCAAGCAGGAGUGCCUACCACUCUUUUGUCCUUUACCACAAUAACAGCCCUCGAUGGGGGGAAAUCAUCAAGUUGCCCAUCCCUAUAGACAGGUUCCGUGGGUCUCACCUCCGCUUUGAGUUCAGACAUUGCUCCACUAAAGACAAGGGAGAGAAGAAGCUCUUUGGUUUUGCAUUUACUCCACUGAUGCGAGAUGAUGGCACUACCUUGUCAGAUGAUAUCCACGAGCUUUAUGUUUAUAAGUGUGAUGAGAACAGCACCUUUAACAAUCACGCGCUGUACCUGGGGCUGCCGUGCUGCAAAGAGGACUACAAUGGCUGCCCCAACAUCCCUUCCAGCCUCAUUUUCCAGCGCAGCACUAAAGAGACCUUCUCAGUCUCUACACAGCUUUCUUCUACCAAGCUCACCCAGAACGUGGAUUUGCUUGCUCUACUGAAAUGGAAAGCUUACCCAGAUCGUGUGAUGGAUAUUCUGGGAAGACUGAGACAUGUCAGCGGCGAGGAGAUUGUUAAGUUCCUACAAGAUAUUCUCGACACGUUGUUUGUAGUUUUGGAUGACAACACAGAAAAAUACGGUCUGCUGGUCUUUCAGUCUUUGGUGUUCAUCAUAAAUCUGCUGCGUGACAGCAAGUAUUUCCAUUUUCGCCCGGUGAUGGACACGUACAUUCAGAAGCACUUUGCAGGAGCACUGGCUUACAAGGAACUGAUCCGCUGUUUGAAGUGGUACAUGGACCGUUCAGCUGAGCUCGUGCGCCAGGACCACAUCCAGGAGGCAAUGAGGGCCUUGGAAUAUCUUUUCAAGUUCAUUGUCCAAUCUCGGAUCCUUUACUCCAGAGCUACUUGUGGAAUGGAGGAGGAACAGUUCCGCUCCAGCAUCCAAGAACUUUUCCAGUCCAUCAGAUUUGUGCUCAGCUUGGACAGCAGGAGCUCUGAGACUCUCAUCUUCACACAGGCUGCUUUGCUGAACUCCUUCCCCGCUAUCUUCGAUGAGCUGUUGCAGAUGUUCACUGUGCAGGAGGUGGCAGAGUUCGUGAGGGGCACGCUGGGCAGCAUGCCCAGCACAGUGCACAUUGGGCAGUCCAUGGAUGUGGUGAAGCUGCAGUCUAUUGCACGCACUGUUGACAGCCGCCUCUUCUCUUUCUCAGAGUCCCGGCGUAUCCUGCUGCCUGUAGUUCUUCACCACAUUCACCUUCACCUACGACAGCAGAAGGAGCUACUUAUCUGCUCUGGGAUCCUCAGUAGUAUCUUCUCCAUAAUCAAGACCAGCUCUUUGGAGGGAGAUGUCGUGGAGGAGGUUGAGAUGAUGGUGGAGAGCCUCCUGGAUGUGCUCUUACAAACUCUGCUUACAAUCAUGAGUAAAUCGCAGUCUCAGGAGGCGGGAGAAUAUGUCUCCUGCCUUUUAUCUUUGCUUCGUCAGAUGUCAGACACUCAUUUCCAGCAUUUACUGGACAACUUCCAAAGCAAGGAUGAACUAAAGGAGUUCCUUCUGAAGAUUUUCUGUGUAUUUCGAAACCUGAUGAAAAUGAGUGUCUUUCCUCGAGACUGGAUGGUGAUGAGGUUGCUCACCAGCAAUAUCAUAGUUACAACAGUUCAGUAUCUGUCUUCUGCACUGCAUAAGAACUUCACGGAAACGGACUUUGACUUUAAAGUGUGGAACUCUUACUUCAGCCUGGCAGUUUUGUUUAUAAACCAGCCAAGUCUCCAACUGGAAAAUGCCACACCAGCAAAAAGGAAGAAGAUUCAGGAUAAGUAUGGCGAUAUGAGGGUCAUGAUGGCAUAUGAGCUCUUCAGCAUGUGGCAGAACCUGGGUGAGCAUAAGAUUCACUUUAUUCCGGGAAUGAUUGGCCCCUUUCUUGGUGUUACACUUGUUCCACAACCAGAAGUCCGGAAUAUCAUGAUCCCCAUCUUCCAUGACAUGAUGGACUGGGAGCAGAGGAAAAAUGGCAACUUCAAGCAGGUGGAAGCUGAGUUGAUCGACAAGCUGGACAGUCUGGUAUCUGAAGGAAAAGGUGAUGAGAACUACAGGGAGCUCUUCAGCCUGCUCUUGCUGGAGAAGAUUGAGCAGGAAACAUGGCGGGAGACUGGAAUCUCGUUUGUCACGUCAGUGACUCGUCUCAUGGAGCGUCUGCUUGACUACAGGGACUGUAUGAAAGGAGAUGAAACAGAAAACAAGAAAAUUGGCUGCACUGUUAACCUUAUGAAUUUCUAUAAGUCUGAAAUCAACAAGGAAGAGAUGUACAUCCGCUAUAUUCACAAGCUGUGUGACAUGCACUUACAGGCUGAGAACUACACAGAGGCUGCAUUUACUUUGCUUUUGUACUGUGAGUUGCUCCAGUGGGAGGACAGACCUCUGAGAGAGUUCCUGCAUUAUCCAUCUCAGUCAGAGUGGCAACGUAAGGAAGGUCUGUGCCGUAAGAUUAUCCAUUACUUCAACAAAGGGAAGAGCUGGGAGUUUGGAAUCCCGCUGUGCAGAGAACUGGCCAUCCAGUACGAAAGUCUCUAUGAUUACCAGAGCCUCAGUUGGAUUCGAAAAAUGGAAGCUACCUAUUACGAUAACAUCAUGGAACAGCAGCGCUUGGAACCUGAGUUUUUCCGAGUUGGUUUUUAUGGUCGGAAAUUCCCAUUUUUCCUACGGAACAAAGAGUAUGUGUGUCGGGGCCAUGACUACGAGCGGCUGGAAGCCUUCCAGCAGAGGAUGUUAAGCGAGUUCCCUCAAGCCAUUGCAAUGCAGCAUCCAAACCACCCAGAUGAUUCUAUAUUGCAGUGUGAUGCCCAGUAUUUACAGAUCUAUGCAGUGACUCCCAUCCCAGACAACAUAGAUGUGUUGCAAAUGGACCGUGUCCCUGACCGCAUAAAGAGCUUUUACCGAGUCAACAACAUCCGCAAGUUCCGCUAUGACAGACCCUUCCACAAAGGCCCAAAGGACAAGGAGAAUGAAUUCAAGAGCUUGUGGAUUGAACGUACCACUCUGACCUUGACUCACAGUUUGCCUGGGAUCUCUCGUUGGUUUGAAGUGGAGAGAAGAGAACUGGUUGAAGUAAGUCCUUUGGAAAACGCCAUUCAAGUGGUUGAGAACAAAAACCAGGAGCUGAGAACACUGAUAAGCCAGUACCAGCAUAAACAAAUGCAUGGCAACAUUAAUCUUCUCAGCAUGUGUCUGAAUGGAGUGAUUGAUGCAGCUGUUAAUGGGGGAAUUGCACGAUACCAGGAGGCCUUUUUUGAUAAGGAUUAUAUCACAAAGCACCCUGGAGAUGCAGAGAAGAUCACACAGCUCAAGGAGCUCAUGCAGGAACAGGUACAUGUCUUAGGAGUGGGUCUGGCCGUCCACGAGAAAUUCGUACACCCAGAAAUGCGUCCCCUGCACAAGAAACUGAUAGACCAGUUCCAGAUGAUGCGAUCCAGCCUGUACCAUGAGUUACCUGGUUUGGAUAAGCUGAGCCCGGCCUGUUCUGGAAGUAGUACACCACGCAGCAACGUCCUGGUUUCACACGGACCCAUGAGCCCAGAGAGCAUAAAGCUGGUGCAUCGACACAGCCCACUGAACUUGCUGGGUUCAGUCCGACACUCGUCGUCCUCUCUGUCAUCACACACCUCCAGUGAGACAGGAAACCUGGUUAUCCUGACAGACAGCUCCAUGGGGGAGACUGCUGAGGAUAUGUACCACAUGCAGGCUAGCCCUUCCACCUCAAGCCUGAGCUCUACUCACUCGGCACCGUCCCAGAUGAUUAACUCUGCCCCUUCCAGUGCUCGAGUGCUGGUGAAAGGUGCUGGAUUGACAACACUGGAGGCUGAAGCCCUCUAUUUAUCCACAGAACAGAUACAGCAUGGGCGGCAGCCGUGCAAGCUUCCCCACGCUGCCCCCACCAAUGUGCCUCAUCUCUGUCCUGGAGGGACCACCUCUAGAGGCUCUCCCUCUCUACCAGAUAAGUACCGCCACUCUCGGGAGAUGAUGAUGUUGCUGCCAGCCCAUCGGGACCGGCCCAGCAGCGCCAUGUAUCCCGCAGCCAUCAUGGAGAACGGACAGCCUCCAAAUUUCCAGCGCGCCUUGAUGCAGCAAAUGAUUGGACCAUGCAAACCCUGCAGUGACCCCAACCUGUCUGUGGCUGAGAAAGCUGUGCCAGCAGCGCCCAGUAGCUGGAGCCUAGACAGCGGAACCCGCGAGGCCCUGCCAUUCCUGUCUGCCCACGUUGGGAGCAUCUUGGCCCCACCAGUGCCUCCCCGAAGCCUGCCCCAUGGACACUACUCGCUGCACUUUGAUGCCUUCCAUCACCAGCUCAGCGAUGCUCCCCCGGCACUGCCUGCACGGACGUUGCGCAAGUCCCCUCUUCAUCCUAUCCCUGCAUCACCCACCAGUCCGCAGUCCGGCCUGGACGGCAGUAACUCCACUCUGUCCGGCAGUGCCAGCAGUGGCGUCUCUUCCUUGAGCGAGAGCAAUUUCGGACAUUCUUCUGAACCGCCUCCUCGCACAGACACCAUGGAUUCUGUCCCCAGCCAGGCCUGGAACACUGACGAAGAUCUAGAGACACCCUACCUCCCUGUCAGGUACAGUCUCUCUGAGCCUGAUGUCCUAGAGUCGCUCAAAUCGCAGCCGUGCCGAAGCCACUCCGCUCCGUCUGGAGUCAUUCCUCAGGACACCAUGGACCCUCCUGCUCUGCCCCCCAAACCUUACCACUCCCGCCUGCCCAACCUGGAGAACGAGGAGGGGAUGAUCAUCGAAGAUGACGACAAGCACCGUCCCUUGCACCGCAAAGCGUCCCAGCCGGUGAGCGGCGGGAAGGAGGAGCAGGCCCGGGUAGCGUGGGAGCACGGCAUCAGUGAGCAGUAGGGGCAGCUCCUGGGAAGCAGCUUGGCAUCGUCAUUCCAGGGCCGACCACAAGCGGAGAGAGAUCGGGACUGGGAGCACAGCCAACCGACUUUCUACCGCUGCAAGUUGACGUCUGUGGAGCCCACAGGAGCAGCUGGGCCAGCACGGGAGUUCUUGCCUUAAAGAGGGCAGAAGAUAGAAAGACUAUGACUAAGAUCAAGCUUUUGUGAAUGUUGGAACUAAUACUUCUUGGAACUAAUACUUCCCUGGAGGGUGAGGUGUCUUAUAGCAUAGUACAACUCCACCAUCAGGCUCAGUCCUGGACUAGGUGGAAGCAACAGUAGUCAUUGCCCAGCAGGAUUUGAAGAUUCCUUGUAUAAACCACAGCAACGGGAUGUUUUGAACAGGACUUUUGUCAUUCUAUACUUAACUCUAAGUCAAGCUUAACACACUUGCCUUCAUUGGGUUUUCUUGGCGUAACAAAACAGCAUGUGCAUUCCUGAGAAAAGUGGUGGGAUUCUGCUACGAAGCUCUCCAUUGUCACUCUACCUGCUGGCCCCAUCUGAAACAAAACUGAGAAGGAACUACAGUAGUAGAAGAAAAGCAAAACAAUUUUUCUGAAUCCUACAGGGUUGUUUUUUGUCAGUGGUCGGGCUGGUUUUAUUACAGUGUGCAAGACCUUAGAUCCUUUUCCGUCUUUCCCUCUGUUUGGUUUUUAGCUUCCUUACCCGUUUUUUUAGGUCAGGGAUAUUGCAUAUCCCUUCUGUGGGGGAAUCAGCCAAAACUGGGGAGGCUGGAGAGAGCAAGAGCCUUUGGGAAACAAAUUAUGUGAUAUUUAAAAUUCCCUCUGAUCAUGCUUCUUUGUAAAUACCCUCAUUUGAAUGCUGUGUAUUUGUACAGGAAAUUGAGCAAAAAAUGUAUAGAUUGUGACGUCUGACUGGUAUUCUGCCCUGUAAAUGUGUUUUUAACCUCUGGCAUUCUGUGCUUCUUUAAAAAAAAAAAAGGAAAAAAAAGGCAAAAACCUCUAACCACUUCUCUUUUGUGUAUUCAUGUUUAAAAUAAAAUGAAAACAGCUAUCUUAUCUAUACUGGAAAUCAAAUCUAAAAGGAAAAAAAAAAUCAAUUUGUACAAGUGUCCUAAAGGUACUUCAUUGUAUAUAUUGUGAUAGCAUGUUUCCAGAACCAACAAAUAAGUGGUGUGAAUUUUAGAUGUAAAUAUCUGCCGUUUGUUUGGGGUUUCUUUCCCUCAACAUUCACUCGACUGCUGUGAUGUGGAAUUAAAGAUUAAAU
Colius striatus (speckled mousebird) is the source of this 7586-nucleotide RNA transcript. It is a transcript of the gene named dedicator of cytokinesis 3, with no coding region annotated. NCBI's taxonomy places the organism in Eukaryota, Metazoa, Chordata, Aves, Coliiformes, Coliidae. The transcript is spliced from 55 exons. The record is from RefSeq and is a predicted model, not a curated record.